This 253-nucleotide ribosomal RNA is filed under the name uncultured bacterium. RNAcentral's name for it is "partial 16S ribosomal RNA". It matches the Rfam family "Bacterial small subunit ribosomal RNA", at positions 524 to 776 of the family's 1533-position model. The record is from RNAcentral.
UACGGGGGGAGCAAGCGUUGUUCGGAAUCACUGGGCGUAAAGGGAGUCUAGGCGGUUUGGUAAGUGGGAUGUGAAAUGCCCGGGCUCACCCCGGGACCUGCAUCCCAAACUGCUGAGCUUGAGUACAGGAGAGGGUGGGGGAAUUCCAGGUGUAGCGGUGAAAUGCGUAGAUAUCUGGAGGAACACCGGUGGCGAAGGCGGCAUCCUGGACCAUUACUGACACUGAUAAGCGAAAGCCAGGGGAGCAAACGGG